UGCCUCCCUCUUGAGCCUACAUACUUCUUCAUAUGCCCAUAUGGAGUCGGCCAGAUUUAUGGAAUGUUAAGAAGUAUGUAUCGUUGGGAUGGGAUUGGA
Anolis carolinensis (green anole) is the source of this 99-nucleotide microRNA precursor. Ensembl annotates it as aca-mir-1b. Its record names the gene aca-mir-1b. Lineage: Eukaryota; Metazoa; Chordata; Lepidosauria; Squamata; Anolidae. The record is from Ensembl.